UAUUGGAUAUUUACAUUUGUUUUAUUUAUAUAGGCCUACGUAGGCCUACGGAUUAGCCGUGGAUUGUUUUCCAAGAAAAGAUAGUUAUUAAAUUUGAAGACGUUGAUAACUUGUUUUGAAGUCUAAAAUUUUGUUCAAUGGUGGAAUAAUUCAAUUCACCGCAGUUUUAAUGAUAUGAAAAAUGUUGAGAGAUCUUCAAGCCAUGAGUACACUACCACCACCACGCAACUUGCAACAGAAAAACACAGGCACAUGUUUAUUGUGGAUUGCAAAGACAAGCAUUCAGUACAGGUAGGCGUUUGUUAAUUGCAUGAAGCAGAUAAACAAUUGGAUGUACAGCCGGAUUUGUUGGAAGCUUGGAUAAAAUGAAGCUGAUCAACUGGGGCAAACCCAAGCUGUUAUAUAAAGAAGGUUGAGCGAAGAAAUGCAUUGUGGGGAAUCAGGACUGAUUAGUUUGACACUCUGGUAACUGAAGAUUAGUAACGUCAGACUUUGAGAUGAAGCGUGGAAGUCAAACUUAAUGCAUAGUAAUGAAGCAAUGAACUUUGCAAAAUAGACCGAUAUGUUUGAACUAUGCAACGUACAACAAACUGGUACUUGGAGCUUAGUGAACACUGCUGUAUUGAGAUGAAGCAUAUAAAUUGUGGAAAGUCUAAAACCACAACAGAUAUUUGUUGUGCAUUCAUAGAAUGAACAAUUAUGAAUUGAAGUACUGUUUGCCAAGUGAACUUUGUAAUUUAUUAUGUAAUGUAAAAGUGUUUACCUUUCAAAAUGCCGAUGUUUUUGUCUGAUUCUGGACCUAGUUAAAUAGAAUGUUGGUCCGAUUUUGAACUUAAUUUAAAAUGUUGGUCCCAUUGUGGACUUAGUUAAAAUUCUGGACUUGGUUAAAAUGGCUUUUAGGUAAAAUUCUAAACUUAAAAUUUUGAUCAAAGUCUGGUCUGUAGAGUAGUGUAAGCUAUUGGUCCUACCUUGGACCUAGUGUAAAAUCCUGGAUUUAGUGUAAAUUGUUGGUCCUUUUGGACUUAAUUAUUUAUGUCCUAUCUUGGACUUAGUGUAAAAUUCUGGAUUUAGUUAAAAUUAUGGAAUUAGUGUAAAUUAUUGGUCCAAUUCUGGACUUAGUUAAAAUUCUGGAAUUAGUGGAAAUGGUUGAGUCCCAUUCUGGACUUAGUGUAAAUUAUUGGUCCAAUUCUGGACUUAGUUAAAAUUCUUAGUGUAAAUUAUUGGUCCAAUUCUGGACUUAGUUAAAAUUCUGGAAUUAGUGUAAAUGGUUGAGUCCUAUUCUGGACUUAGUUAAAAUUCUGGACUUGUAUAAAUGGUUGAGUCCAUUCUGGACUUAGUG
Anneissia japonica is the source of this 1339-nucleotide long non-coding RNA. RefSeq lists it as uncharacterized. The transcript has 3 exons. Lineage: Eukaryota; Metazoa; Echinodermata; Crinoidea; Comatulida; Comatulidae. The record is from RefSeq and is a predicted model, not a curated record.